UACGGGGGGGGCAAGCGUUGUUCGGAAUUACUGGGCGUAAAGGGCUCGUAGGUGGCCAACUAAGUCAUACGUGAAAUCCCUCAGCUUAACUGGGGAACUGCGUCUGAUACUGGAUGGCUUGAGUUUGGGAGAGGGAUGCGGAAUUCCAGGUGUAGCGGUGAAAUGCGUAGAUAUCUGGAGGAACACCGGUGGUGUAGACGGCUUACUGGACCAUGACUGACGCUGAGGCACGAAAGCGUGGGUAGCAAACAGG
This 253-nucleotide ribosomal RNA is filed under the name uncultured bacterium. Its description in RNAcentral is "partial 16S ribosomal RNA". It matches the Rfam family "Bacterial small subunit ribosomal RNA", at positions 524 to 776 of the family's 1533-position model. The record is from RNAcentral.